This 22-nucleotide non-coding RNA is filed under the name Drosophila melanogaster (fruit fly). The record is from RNAcentral. Lineage: Eukaryota; Metazoa; Arthropoda; Insecta; Diptera; Drosophilidae.
UGAAAGUGAAAAUGAGGAGAAG